Nycticebus coucang (slow loris) is the source of this 246-nucleotide long non-coding RNA. RefSeq lists it as uncharacterized. NCBI's taxonomy places the organism in Eukaryota, Metazoa, Chordata, Mammalia, Primates, Lorisidae. The transcript is spliced from 3 exons. The record is from RefSeq and is a predicted model, not a curated record.
GCUGUAUAAGAGAACCAACACCUGACUGAGGCAGACAAUGAAAUUUAAAGUUGUCAAAGUAUCAAAAAGUGAAGGAAAGACCUAACUGUUCCAGAUUGAAGAAGUCAGAACAGCUAACUGCAGCAGGACCCUAUGACAGGGCUGCUGACUUCAAGAAGCUCAUAUCUGAGGGAGGAAGAUAGAGCAGUUGAUUGAACAACAGAGCGCGGCGAUGAGUUGAGAAAGAUGCACCUAGGAAAAGUAAGG